This 576-nucleotide long non-coding RNA is filed under the name Phoenix dactylifera (date palm). RNAcentral describes it as "long non-coding RNA (PDAC_LNC020749)". The record is from RNAcentral. Lineage: Eukaryota; Viridiplantae; Streptophyta; Magnoliopsida; Arecales; Arecaceae.
GGGGGUGUAUAUAGAACUACCCAUCAAAUUCCAACGUGAACCAAGUCGAUGUGCUGUAUCUAAUAAAACCAUGGCUUUGGGGCAGUUGUUUUUAAAAAUAAAUAAAUAAAAAUAAGUGUUGCUUUGCUUCAAAUAUGUGUUACUUUAAAUGAAUAAUUCUUUAAUCGUAUCUAUGACAUGAACCAACCAUUUUUUUAAAGAAAAAAAAAGAAGUAUUUCUCUAUUACCACGUAGCCAACGUGGACUUCAAUUGAAUCACUAGGAAUUUUUUCUAAAUAAUCCUGCAAGUCGGAGAAGUCUAUCGGAAAGCCUGAAAGCCACGAGUUCCGGUCUAAGUUACCCCAAGGAAUUGAAAGCAGGCUACAAUAAAUGGACCUUUUGAUGAAUGAGUCCUUAACAUGCUAUUAAUUUGGUUAACCAGGCGAGUUUCGCACGAAGUAUGGGAAGGCAAGAUGAGGAAUUCAUAGGCUUUUUCUGGAGCGAUGUGAACCAACCGGUGAUCUUCUCGUCAAACAACUCCAUUGCAACGGAGAUCUUUUUCUCACAGUGCAAUUGUUGCGGGAACAAUUAGAAUGA